RNAcentral lists this ribosomal RNA (957 nucleotides) under Scoliciosporum schadeanum. Its description in RNAcentral is "SSU rRNA". It matches the Rfam family "Bacterial small subunit ribosomal RNA", at positions 167 to 1143 of the family's 1533-position model. The record is from RNAcentral. Lineage: Eukaryota; Fungi; Ascomycota; Lecanoromycetes; Lecanorales; Lecanoraceae.
UCCCUUAUAAUCUUAUUAAUUUAGGAAAAAGAAAAAUAAAGUUUUAUUUCGCUCUUAGAAGCCUAUAUCUCGUGUAUUGUAGUAGUUAAGGUAACAGAUUAACUAGCCUUAUGCACGUAGUCGUAACUGAGAGGUUGAUCGACCACAAUGGGCCUGAACAAAGCCCAUGAUGAAAAUUACAGCAGUGAGGAAUAUUGGUCAAUGGCCUAACGGCUGAACCAGCAACUUGGAAGAAUGAAUAGUGAAAGCUAAUUGCGCCAAACCAGGGUGUGAUAUCGACUCAGUCGAAUAAAAUUCUGGGUGGACAUAUGAUAAUGACAUAGUCCGCUCAUGUGUCUUGGCUAAAUUACGUGCCAGCAGCCGCGGUAAUACGUAAAAGACUAGUGUUAUUCAUCUUUAAUGGGUUUAAAGGGUACUUAGACGGUAAAUAAAGCCCUAUAGGGUACUAAUUUGCUAGAGUUACUUACGCGGGGGUUCUAAAGUACUAAUGGUGGAGAGAUGAAAUUUUGUCAUACCAUUUUUCGAAAGAAAAGUUUUGGCACAGGUAAAGGCGAAAGCAUCCCCUUAUGUGAUAACUGACGUUGAAAGACGAAGGCUUUGGAUCGCAAAUAGGAUUAGAUACCCUAGUAGUCAAAGCAGACAAUUAUGAGUGUCAUAGAUUAGAUAUAAAUUUUUAUUCUAUAAAUGAAAGUGUAAGCACUCCACCUCAAGAGUAAUUUGGCAACAUUGGAACUGAAAUCAUUAGACCGUUUCUGAAACCAGUAGUGAAGUAUGUUGUUUAAUUUGAUAAUCCGCAAAAAACCUUACCACAGUUUGAAUAUUUACAUUUAUGUAAGUACAAGCGUUGCACGGCUGUCUUCAGUUAAUGUCGUGAGACUUUGGUUAGAUCCAUUAAAUUAACGCAAGCCCUUACUUUAUUUUUAUAUAAAGUUGUUCCCCAUUACAUUGGAUAUAUAA